UCCGGAGGGCGCAAGCGUUGUUCGGAUUCACUGGGCGUAAAGCGCAUGUAGGCGGUUCAGUAAGUCGGCUGUGAAAUCCCGAGGCUCAACCUCGGAACUGCCGCCGAAACUGGCGGGCUGGAGCAGCGGAGAGGGUAGUGGAAUUUCGGGUGUAGAGGUGAAAUUCGUAGAUAUCCGGAGGAACACCAGUGGCGAAGGCGGCCCGCUGGAUUGUUGCUGACGCUGAGACGCGAAAGCGUGGGGAGCAAACAGG
RNAcentral lists this ribosomal RNA (253 nucleotides) under uncultured bacterium. RNAcentral's name for it is "partial 16S ribosomal RNA". It matches the Rfam family "Bacterial small subunit ribosomal RNA", at positions 524 to 776 of the family's 1533-position model. The record is from RNAcentral.